This is a long non-coding RNA of Trichomycterus rosablanca, 944 nucleotides long. RefSeq lists it as uncharacterized. The transcript is spliced from 3 exons. Lineage: Eukaryota; Metazoa; Chordata; Actinopteri; Siluriformes; Trichomycteridae. The record is from RefSeq and is a predicted model, not a curated record.
AAAAUAUAAUGUGGAAUUAAUUCUGAAACAAUUUUACUAUGAUAUUAAAAAGUUAGCCGAGUAAAUGUAUACUGACUUGUGAUGUAACUGUAGCGUUGGGUCAUAAAAUCAAAAACGGCGGGGUAACGUUUACUAUAUUAGGCUGAAAGAUGAAGAAAACUACCAAAGAUAAUCAGCAGCAAUGAAAGAGGAGUGUGAGGACGGUACUAUAGUGCAGUGUGUGGUUAAAAAGGAGGAAUAUGAAACCAGCAUCGAUAACACAAACAAGGCGCAUCUAAUUACCCCAAUUGCAUUAUGCUUCCUCUCUACUGAUGCCGAUCCCCGCCCUGAUUGAGGAGAGCAAGACUGACACGUGUGCAGUAGCUGACUGCAUCUUUUUACCUGCACGAGGCGAGUACAUAUGCGGAUCAGCUUCGUGUACGGAGAGCCACACCAUGAUGAACGCAUUAUUCCUCAACUCUGUGCAGGCGCCAUCAAUCAGCCAGCAGAGGUCGUAUUUGCAUCAGUUAUGAGGCAUUACCUGUCCAGCUCCCACCCUGUAUGAACAACAGGCCAAUUGUUGCUCAUGUAGGCACCCAGCUGGAAGGCAGACAAGUUCGAAAUGUCAGCUCUGGUGUGCUAGCGUGUUUUACCGCUGUGCCACCUGAGCGCCCUUGUAUCAUUGAUUUAAUACACCUUUUAGAAAUGGGUGUGGCCUUCUAGUGCACAAUAGUGCCUGAUCUCACAAAUGCAAUUUUGACUAAAUGGGCACAUAUUUUUACAGGCACACUCCAAAUUUUGGAGGUCAAAGAGUGGAAGUCAUUAUAGCUUCAAAGUGGCUGGCCAGCUCCAUGUUCAUGCCCAUGGUUUUGGAAUCGGAUGUCCAACAAGCUUAUGGUCAGAGCGCUGCUUUGUCCUGACCAUAUAAUUAUAAAUAACUAAGAUUAAUAAAUAAAUAAAAAUCA